ACUACGGGAGGCAGCAGUGAGGAAUAUUGGUCAAUGGGCGCAAGCCUGAACCAGCCAAGUCGCGUGAGGGAAGACGGUCCUAUGGAUUGUAAACCUCUUUUGUCGGGGAGCAAAAGACGCCACGCGUGGCGUUCCGAGAGUACCCGAAGAAAAAGCAUCGGCUAACUCCGUGCCAGCAGCCGCGGUAAUACGGAGGAUGCGAGCGUUAUCCGGAUUUAUUGGGUUAAAAGGGUGUGCAGGCGGAAGAGCAAGUCAGCGGUAAAAUUGAGAGGCUCAACCUCUUCGAGCCGUUGAAACUGGUUUUCUUGAGUGAGCGAGAAGUAUGCGGAAUGCGUGGUGUAGCGGUGAAAUGCAUAGAUAUCACGCAGAACUCCGAUUGCGAAGGCAGCAUACCGGCGCUCAACUGACGCUCAUGCACGAAAGUGUGGGUAUCGAACAGGAUUAGAUACCCUGGUAGUC
This 459-nucleotide ribosomal RNA is filed under the name uncultured bacterium. RNAcentral describes it as "partial 16S ribosomal RNA". It matches the Rfam family "Bacterial small subunit ribosomal RNA", at positions 338 to 795 of the family's 1533-position model. The record is from RNAcentral.